This 258-nucleotide ribosomal RNA is filed under the name uncultured bacterium. RNAcentral describes it as "partial 16S ribosomal RNA". It matches the Rfam family "Bacterial small subunit ribosomal RNA", at positions 355 to 605 of the family's 1533-position model. The record is from RNAcentral.
UAGGGAAUCUUCCACAAUGGACGCAAGUCUGAUGGAGCAACGCCGCGUGAGUGAAGAAGGCUUUCGGGUCGUAAAACUCUGUUAUUGAAGAAGAACGUGUGUGACAGUAACUGGUCAUGCAGUGACGGUAUUCAAUCAGAAAGUCACGGCUAACUACGUGCCAGCAGCCGCGGUAAUACGUAGGUGGCAAGCGUUGUCCGGAUUUAUUGGGCGUAAAGCGAGUGCAGGCGGUCUUUUAAGUCUGAUGUGAAAGCCUUC